This 347-nucleotide unclassified non-coding RNA is filed under the name soil metagenome. RNAcentral describes it as "partial contains 5.8S ribosomal RNA, internal transcribed spacer 2, and large subunit ribosomal RNA". The stretch from base 1 to 121 matches the Rfam family "5.8S ribosomal RNA", at positions 35 to 154 of the family's 154-position model. The record is from RNAcentral.
GAUGAAGAACGCAGCAAAAUGCGAUAAGUAAUGCGAAUUGCAGAAUUUCCGUGAGUCAUCGAAUCUUUGAACGCACAUUGCGCCCGCCAGUAUUCUGGCGGGCAUGCCUGUUCGAGCGUCAUUUCAACCCUCAAGCCCUCGGGUUUGGUGUUGGGGAUCGGCGAGCCUUUCUGGCAAGCCGGCCCCGAAAUCUAGUGGCGGUCUCGCUGCAGCCUCCAUUGCGUAGUAGUAAAACCCUCGCAACUGGAACGCGGCGCGGCCAAGCCGUUAAACCCCCAACUUCUGAAUGUUGACCUCGGAUCAGGUAGGAAUACCCGCUGAACUUAAGCAUAUCAAUAAGCGGAGGA